GUACAUCCUUAAAACUAAUAUUACCCUUUAGAGAAGUCAAUUAAUUCACUCUGAAUUUUAAGUAAACCUUAGUAUGUAAAUACAUUAAUCCAGGUAUAACUUAACGCCACGUAGUUAUCGUAUCAAAAUCCACUCCAGUCUAAAUUUUUGUCCGGAUCAAACUUUCCUUUUAAGAAAUGGAACUGACAAAAGUUGCAAAAAAUCAUAGCCGGAAAUCCAUCCAAAAGAUUUAUACCGUGUCUUGUGGAGAGAAAUCGCUAACUCGUGAUUAUUCUGAUGUUUUUUAUCCCUUCAGGAUUCAUGCCUUUCUAUGCAGAAUGAUGUAGGAAGGGCCUGCCAAGCUAGCCCUACAAUCUGUCUCUUUCUUCGGCCCCGAGUUGAAGCCAUAUGAGCAGGAAAAUUACGAAAUUAACAUCGAAAUUGUGCAGACCGAUCAGGGUCUAAAGACGGCGCUGGCCACGUAUCUGCCACUCCAGCGACGUGACGUGGUCGCGUGGUACACUGACCCAAUGGUCGUUGAGCUGGGGGAAAUUCCUCUCCCACCGAAAACAUGGGUGGACAUUAGAUUCUAAUUAAAUGGACCUCGCACUUGUACCCUGGAGAAACAAAAAUUGGAACAUAUCGCUAACGAAGUCGGGGGAGAAAGCUCUCUUCAGAUUCAUACGCUUCCGAGUGCUGGGAAUUUGAAUAAACUCACAUUCGUUUGAUUCGUUUCCACUUAGAAAGAUGUCCCAGACUUUUAAUAAAAGUAUUAUUUGGACAGUGACGAGUAGGUUGUUCAAAUGCUUGUUAAAAUAAAAAUAAUAAUAAUAACGCCCCUUUAAGAGAAACCGUAGAGCUAAGAGGAUUUGAAGAACCUGCUCAUCAAUGUACAAAUAAUACUUUUAUUUACUGGGCAAUUCACGACAUUAUCAUAAUUUAGAGUUUAUGUAAUUGGAUGCUUUGAGAGAAUAAUAUAAUAUUUUUUUGAG
Folsomia candida is the source of this 971-nucleotide long non-coding RNA. RefSeq lists it as uncharacterized. The record is from RefSeq and is a predicted model, not a curated record. NCBI's taxonomy places the organism in Eukaryota, Metazoa, Arthropoda, Collembola, Entomobryomorpha, Isotomidae. The transcript has 3 exons.